GUGGGGAAUUUUGGACAAUGGGCGCAAGCCUGAUCCAGCAAUGCCGCGUGCAGGAAGAAGGCCUUCGGGUUGUAAACUGCUUUUGUACGGAACGAAACGGUCCUGGCUAAUAUCCGGGGCUAAUGACGGUACCGUAAGAAUAAGCACCGGCUAACUACGUGCCAGCAGCCGCGGUAAUACGUAGGGUGCGAGCGUUAAUCGGAAUUACUGGGCGUAAAGCGUGCGCAGGCGGUGCUGUAAGACAGGCGUGAAAUCCCCGGGCUCAACCUGGGAAUUGCGCUUGUGACUGCAGUGCUGGAGUGCGGCAGAGGGGGAUGGAAGUCCGCGUGUAGCAGUGAAAUGCGUAGAUAUGCGGAGGAACACCGAUGGCGAAGGCAAUCCCCUGGGCCUGCACUGACGCUCAUGCACGAAAGCGUGGGGAGCAAACAGGAUUAGAUACCCCAGUAGUCC
RNAcentral lists this ribosomal RNA (450 nucleotides) under uncultured bacterium. RNAcentral's name for it is "partial 16S ribosomal RNA". It matches the Rfam family "Bacterial small subunit ribosomal RNA", at positions 354 to 796 of the family's 1533-position model. The record is from RNAcentral.